This 261-nucleotide ribosomal RNA is filed under the name uncultured prokaryote. RNAcentral's name for it is "partial 16S ribosomal RNA". It matches the Rfam family "Bacterial small subunit ribosomal RNA", at positions 524 to 784 of the family's 1533-position model. The record is from RNAcentral.
UACGUAGGGUGCGAGCGUUAAUCGGAAUUACUGGGCGUAAAGCGUGCGCAGGCGGUUUGCUAAGACAGGUGUGAAAUCCCCGGGCUUAACCUGGGAACUGCGCUUGUGACUGGCAGGCUAGAGUACGGCAGUGGGGGGUGGAAUUCCUGGUGUAGCAGUGAAAUGCGUAGAUAUCAGGAGGAACACCGAUGGCGAAGGCAGCCCCCUGGGCCUGUACUGACGCUCAUGCACGAAAGCGUGGGGAUCAAACAGGAUUAGAUA